GUUGAGGAGGAGCCUGGGGUGAGCCA
RNAcentral lists this non-coding RNA (26 nucleotides) under Cricetulus griseus (Chinese hamster). The record is from RNAcentral. Lineage: Eukaryota; Metazoa; Chordata; Mammalia; Rodentia; Cricetidae.